CUUGGCCAGGCCCCCCGCGGCCACGGGCGGCGGGGAGGGCGGCAGGAAUGCCUCUCCGCAGGCCCUGAUUUCUCCGCCCAGCCCAGUUCCAGGAACGCGCGGGCAGCGCCCGGCAGGCAGAGGCCCCGGCUUCGGAUUCGGGGAGGCGCAAGCCAGGGUUCGAGGCCGGGAUGAGCCCCUCCCUCCCGUCCCUCGCCGGGCUGGUCCCCGCCUUGCCCUCGGCCUCAGUUUCCCACCCCGUAGAAUUAGGACGAGGUCGGGCCGGGAACAGUCCUGGCUUCCGCUCGGCCCCAGUCUUGGUCCCAGCAUUUGGGACAACCUGCAUCCCCAGCCUGAGCGCCGCGGGGGUCCUUGCUCGCUCUGGGACCUUCCGCGUCCAGCGCGGCGCCCGCGGUUAGGACGCGCGGUGGGAGUGGAUGCCGGCGAGUGCGAAAGCCCGGCACCCGCACCCGCCUAAGCUGUUUCUCCCUCCUGAUGUUGAACCCAGGCUCUGAGUUCCUGAAUGUGUCUUGUUUGGGCCAAUCUGGAGCCCCCGCCCAGUUAUCUUCCUGCUGCUCUGCUGUCAGGUGGCAAAUCUUGGUUCAAAAACAGUCCUCCUGCUACUGGCCAGCCUUGCCGCUUCACAGUUGGCCUUGAGGAGCCCAAGAGACGAAAAGCAUCCUCUAUAGAGGUCUUACAAUCCAGUAGGACCUGAAUCCAAUGACCAGGUAAGUCCAAUGACCUCUGCACCUUGAGGGGCACUUGACCAUAAGAAACCUUCACCCUGGGAGGGCCUUUCUCAAUGUUUUUCUACACACACUAGUUUUCAUGGACAAGCAGGUUGCUCGCAGUUGGAACUCUGAGCUGGGAUUUCCCACCUUGCUCCUUUCUAAGGUUGUUUUGGAGAUUAAAUGAGGUACAUUCUUAACACAUAUUAGCCAUCACUACCUAGUGUCCACAAUUGCAGGACCCAGAUGGAGUCCCCUUAGCUGCCAGUAACCCCCUAAAUUUGGCUUUUGCAAAUCCCACAAGAGUGAAGAACUAUAUAAUAUGGGUGGGGCUGACCCGACCCAGAAACCCCCAGUUCUCAGCCAGACGAGUUUUUUUCUCUGUACUGGAUGGCUCACUUUUAUUAUAUUCACUGUAACCCUGAGGGUGUGUCCUAUUAUUAUUCCCAUUUUAUAGAGAAGGAAACUGAGGCACAGAGAAGUAAUUGGGCCAAGGUCUUAGAAGCUAGUGAGAGACAUGGUCCAGAUUGCAGACUCAGCUGAGCUGAUUCCAAAGCUUGUGUUAUAACACACUAUCUCCCUGGGGCAUCAGAAAAGUUAUGGGGUGGGGGUGCAGGACAUCUGAGAGGGCCAGGCUCUGAAAGGAUUUUUUGUGGGGGGUUGUGCUUUUCCAGGAGGCAGCGCCUGCUAUAGCAGUCACACCAAGCUUGGCUUCCUCCUUCUUAGUGAAAGCAAGAAGGCAGCCAUCUGCAAGCCAGGAAG
Lynx canadensis (Canada lynx) is the source of this 1469-nucleotide long non-coding RNA. RefSeq lists it as uncharacterized. Lineage: Eukaryota; Metazoa; Chordata; Mammalia; Carnivora; Felidae. The transcript is spliced from 3 exons. The record is from RefSeq and is a predicted model, not a curated record.